CUCCACUACCUUGUCCCUGCUACAAAGAAGGGUGUAUGCGUCCCCUUUAUAGACAAACAAGUCUACUAAUUCAGAGCCGAGGUUUAUGGGCUCUGAAUAAGGUGAGCAGAUUGCAACCGCACAUAUAUGCACUUUCUUCUAUUUUGGACCUAUUACACUAGAUCCUCUCUUAUGUUUUUGUGUAUUACAAGCACAUCAAAGACUCAGAGGAAGAGGGACAGUGUCACCGUAGUACACAACCACUAAAGUGAUCUGAGCCAGUCUUAUGUGGCUCAG
Pelobates cultripes (western spadefoot toad) is the source of this 276-nucleotide non-coding RNA. The record is from the annotation of a GenBank genome assembly. Lineage: Eukaryota; Metazoa; Chordata; Amphibia; Anura; Pelobatidae.